UAAAAGUUAAUGAAAUAUAAGUUCCCGAAAUAAGUAGAUCUAUAAUAUUUUAUCUUUAUUGUGACGUGUUAUACUUAUGUAGCAUAAUAAGUUGAAAAAUAUAUUAUAGGGAUGAAAAGUCUACAUUACUUAGGAUAGCUGGAUGUAUUAUAAAGACAUUAAGUGUUUAAGCCAGCUAGUAAGUGAUAAGAUUUGCUAGCUCAUUAAAGAAAUCAAUUUUCAUAACAAAUUAUAUUAAUUAUUAAUAUAAACCUUAUAUUACGAUUUAAUCUUAAUUACUCUUAAGUUAUAUAAUAUAAUACUAUUAUGCUUAAUAACUAACAUAUUAAAUUCUGUUUAAAUUAGUAUAAUUAAAUAUAUCUGUUAAAAGAACUCGGCAAAAGUUUACUCAACUGUUUAUCAAAAACAUAGCGUAUAGUAUAUUUAAUAUAUUCAUUAUAGGUUAUACCUGCCCGGUGAAUAUAUUUUAACGGCCGCAGUACUUUGACUGUGCUAAGGUAGCAUAAUAAAUUGGCUUUUAAUUGAAGUCGGGAAUGAAAGGUUAAAUGGGUAGACACUGUUUCUAACAGAUUUAAUAAAACUUAUUAAAUUAGUGAAAAUACUAAUAACUUACUAUAUUAGACGAGAAGACCCUUAGAAUUAUGGUUACUAUUAUAUAAUAUAUUUAAUGAUACUUUUGUUGGGGCAACAAUAUUGGAAUGAAUAACCUAUAUAUAAUAAUUGUAUAAGUCUCCUUUUAGGUGGAAAAGAUUAAAUUACCUAAGGGAUAACAGCAUAAUAAAUAUUUUUGAUUGUGACCUCGAUGUUGGAUUAGGGAUUCUUAUGACUAGUCGUGUAAGAAAUGUCUGUCGAACAUAUUCCCUA
This 864-nucleotide ribosomal RNA is filed under the name Fauxulus mcbeanianus. RNAcentral describes it as "partial 16S ribosomal RNA". The stretch from base 359 to 571 matches the Rfam family "Archaeal large subunit ribosomal RNA", at positions 1796 to 2107 of the family's 2987-position model. Lineage: Eukaryota; Metazoa; Mollusca; Gastropoda; Stylommatophora; Fauxulidae. The record is from RNAcentral.